UGGGCAACCUGCCCCAGACACAGGGAUAACCCCGGGAAACCGGGGCUAAUACCGGAUACUCAGGUCGAGCCGCAUGACUCGAUCGGGAAAGCUCCGACGGUCUGGGAUGGGCCCGCGGCCUAUCAGCUUGUUGGUGGGGUAACGGCCUACCAAGGCGACGACGGGUAGCUGGUCUGAGAGGACGACCAGCCACACUGGAACUGAGAUACGGUCCAGACUCCUACGGGAG
This 229-nucleotide ribosomal RNA is filed under the name uncultured bacterium. RNAcentral's name for it is "partial 16S ribosomal RNA". It matches the Rfam family "Bacterial small subunit ribosomal RNA", at positions 118 to 347 of the family's 1533-position model. The record is from RNAcentral.